This 493-nucleotide ribosomal RNA is filed under the name uncultured Actinomycetes bacterium. Its description in RNAcentral is "bacterial SSU rRNA". It matches the Rfam family "Bacterial small subunit ribosomal RNA", at positions 378 to 886 of the family's 1533-position model. Lineage: Bacteria; Bacillati; Actinomycetota; Actinomycetes. The record is from RNAcentral.
GCANCCUGACGCAGCAACGCCGCGUGUGGGAUGACGGCUUUCGGGUUGUAAACCACUUUCAGUGAUGACGAAAAUGACGGUAAUCACAGAAGAAGGUCCGGCCAACUACGUGCCAGCAGCCGCGGUAACACGUAGGGACCGAGCGUUGUCCGGAUUUAUUGGGCGUAAAGAGCUCGUAGGCGGUUCUGUAAGUCGGAUGUGAAAACUCAGGGCUCAACCCUGAGACGCCAUCUGAUACUGCAGUGACUAGAGUCCGGUAGAGGAAGAUGGAAUUCCUGGUGUAGCGGUGGAAUGCGCAGAUAUCAGGAGGAACACCAAUGGCGAAGGCAGUCUUCUGGGCCGGUACUGACGCUGAGGAGCGAAAGCAUGGGGAGCAAACAGGAUUAGAUACCCUGGUAGUCCAUGCCGUAAACGUUGGGCACUAGGUGUGGGGUCUUCUAACGGAUUCCGUGCCGUAGCUAACGCAUUAAGUGCCCCGCCUGGGNNGUACGGA